CCGCCCCGGCACCCUUCACGAUCUACCCCUUCCGUCUCCACACCAGCUCUCCUUUCCCCACCGCAGCCAUGGAACAGCCGCCGCCAAUGCCUGCCCUGCGCCUAGCACCACCGCCGUCAAUGGGUGUCUCGCCGGACAUUACUUGGUUCCGGAACGGUUCUUGAUUAGCUAUGGUUUAAGCUUCGCCGUCGAAGAAUUCAAAGUACCUCUCAAUCCAGUUCCAUCAUUAGUGACGCACUGACGGUAUGAUUUUUAUUCCUGUUGGGAUGAGUCUCUUCUCCUGUUAGUUGUCUUUCAGAAUCAGUUAUGCACGACAGCUUUAGCAAUUCUAUGCGAUGAAUAGUGAGAAUUUUGGCUGGUUAA
Molecule: long non-coding RNA, 363 nt
Organism: Salvia miltiorrhiza (redroot sage)
Lineage: Eukaryota; Viridiplantae; Streptophyta; Magnoliopsida; Lamiales; Lamiaceae
Exons: 2
Source: RefSeq, a predicted model, not a curated record